RNAcentral lists this ribosomal RNA (789 nucleotides) under uncultured bacterium. RNAcentral's name for it is "SSU rRNA". It matches the Rfam family "Bacterial small subunit ribosomal RNA", at positions 69 to 853 of the family's 1533-position model. The record is from RNAcentral.
GACAUUGGAAGCUUGCUUCCGAUGGGCGUCGACCGGCGCACGGGUGAGUAACGCGUAUCCAACCUGCCCACCACUUGGGAAUAACCUUGCGAAAGUAAGACUAAUGCCCAAUGACGUUGAAAGAAGACAUCUGAUUUCAACUAAAGAUUCAUCGGUGAUGGAUGGGGAUGCGUCCGAUUAGCUUGUUGGCGGGGUAACGGCCCACCAAGGCGACGAUCGGUAGGGGUUCUGAGAGGAAGGUCCCCCACAUUGGAACUGAGACACGGUCCAAACUCCUACGGGAGGCAGCAGUGAGGAAUAUUGGUCAAUGGGCGAGAGCCUGAACCAGCCAAGUAGCGUGCAGGAUGACGGCCCUAUGGGUUGUAAACUGCUUUUAUAAGGGAAUAAAGUGGGGCUCGUGAGCUCCUUUGCAUGUACCUUAUGAAUAAGGACCGGCUAAUUCCGUGCCAGCAGCCGCGGUAAUACGGAAGGUCCGGGCGUUAUCCGGAUUUAUUGGGUUUAAAGGGAGCGUAGGCCGCAGGUUAAGCGUGUUGUGAAAUGUAGGGGCUCAACCUCUGCACUGCAGCGCGAACUGGCUUGCUUGAGUACGCACAACGUGGGCGGAAUUCGUGGUGUAGCGGUGAAAUGCUUAGAUAUCACGAAGAACUCCGAUUGCGAAGGCAGCUCACGGGAGCGCAACUGACGCUGAAGCUCGAAAGUGCGGGUAUCGAACAGGAUUAGAUACCCUGGUAGUCCGCACGGUAAACGAUGGAUGCCCGCUGUUGGCUUGAAUUAGUCAGCGGCCAAGCG